This 468-nucleotide ribosomal RNA is filed under the name uncultured bacterium. RNAcentral's name for it is "partial 16S ribosomal RNA". It matches the Rfam family "Bacterial small subunit ribosomal RNA", at positions 28 to 507 of the family's 1533-position model. The record is from RNAcentral.
GACGAACGCUGGCGGCGUGCUUAACACAUGCAAGUCGAACGGAAAGGCCCUGCUUUUGUGGGGUGCUCGAGUGGCGAACGGGUGAGUAACACGUGAGUAACCUGCCCUUGACUUUGGGAUAACUUCAGGAAACUGGGGCUAAUACCGGAUAGGAGCUCCUGCUGCAUGGUGGGGGUUGGAAAGUUUCGGCGGUUGGGGAUGGACUCGCGGCUUAUCAGCUUGUUGGUGGGGUAGUGGCUUACCAAGGCUUUGACGGGUAGCCGGCCUGAGAGGGUGACCGGGCACCGUGGGAACGGGGUUAGGCCCCGAACCCUACGGGAGGGAGCAGGGGGGAAUAUUGCACAAUGGGCGGAAGCCUGAUGCAGCAACGCCGCGUGCGGGAUGACGGCCUUCGGGUUGUAAACCGCUUUCGCCUGUGACGAAGCGUGAGUGACGGUAAUGGGUAAAGAAGCACCGGCUAACUACGUG